Molecule: ribosomal RNA, 443 nt
Filed under: uncultured bacterium
Lineage: Bacteria
Description: partial 16S ribosomal RNA
Rfam family: Bacterial small subunit ribosomal RNA
Source: RNAcentral
CCUACGGGAGGCUGCAGUGGGGAAUAUUGGGCAAUGGGCGCAAGCCUGACCCAGCAAUGCCGCGUGAAGGAAGAAGGCUUUCGGGUUGUAAACUUCUUUUAUCAGGGACGAUGAAAGUGACGGUGCCUGAUGAAUAAGCCACGGCUAACUACGUGCCAGCAGCCGCGGUAAUACGGAGGUGGCAAGCGUUAUCCGGAUUUACUGGGUGUAAAGGGCGUGUAGGCGGGAGUGCAAGACAGAUGUGAAAUCUAUGGGCUCAACCCAUAGACUGCAUUUGAAACUGUACUUCUUGAGUGCUGGAGAGGCAAGCGGAAUACCGAGUGUAGAGGUGAAAUGCGUAGAUAUAGGGUGGAACACCAGUGGCGAAGGCGGAUUGCUGGACAGUAACUGACGCUGAGGCGCGAAAGCGUGGGGAGCAAACAGGAUUAGAUACCCUAGUAGUC